UACGGAGGGUGCAAGCGUUACCCGGAAUCACUGGGCGUAAAGGGCGUGUAGGCGGGACGUUAAGUCUGGUUUUAAAGACCGAAGCCCAACUUCGGGAGUGGACUGGAUACUGGCGCUCCAGACCUCUGGAGAGAGAACCGGAAUUCCUGGUGUAGCGGUGGAAUGCGUAGAUACCAGGAGGAACACCGAUGGCGAAGGCAGGUUCUUGGACAGAAGGUGACGCUGAGGCGCGAAAGUGUGGGGAGCGAACCGG
This 253-nucleotide ribosomal RNA is filed under the name uncultured bacterium. RNAcentral's name for it is "partial 16S ribosomal RNA". It matches the Rfam family "Bacterial small subunit ribosomal RNA", at positions 524 to 776 of the family's 1533-position model. The record is from RNAcentral.